Non-coding RNA from Fomitopsis betulina (razor strop fungus), 95 nucleotides. NCBI's taxonomy places the organism in Eukaryota, Fungi, Basidiomycota, Agaricomycetes, Polyporales, Fomitopsidaceae. The record is from the annotation of a GenBank genome assembly.
GACACCAUGGCCGAGUGGUUAAGGCGACAGAUUCGAAUUAAGUCGAUAUUAUCUGUUCCGCAUUGCGGGCGCAAGUUCAAGUCUUGCUGAUGUCG